GCUGGAACAGAACCCUGCAACUGGAAAGGGAAUGCCUGAAGACCAUAGCAACGGAUUCCCCGGAGUUCUGAUGGCUAGAGGUCUGGCAUCAAGUGGUCAGCCGGAAGAGCCUAUUCCACACCUCUGCCUGCCUUUCUCUUGUCAGCUCUCAACACUCCUUGGCUUCUAGACUUUUCACUUGAACCUCUGCCUCCACGUGUGUCUGUGUCCCAUGGGGCCUUCUCCCGAGGAUGCCAGCCAUGGACUUAGGGCCCGCCUUAAUCCAGUGUGACCUCAUCUUAAGUAAUCACAUCACAAGAACUUAUGUUCACGCAAGAUCACAUUCUAUAGUUGCAGGUGGACCUGAGUUUUGAGAGACAAGGCUGUUCACCCCAGGCCAUUGGGUCAAGUUGUUUUUUAAGUCCUUGUGGCAUGUAGGAUCUUAGUUUCCCUGACCAGGGACGGAACCUGCACCUCCUGCAUCGAGAGGUGGAGCCUCUGGACCACCAGGGAAGAGACUGGACCACCAGGGAGACCCCCACUGGGUCAAGUUUCUGAGACAGCUGUUUAAGGACCAAAACAUUCCUGUUUGGGGUAAUUCCCAGGAUUCUAUAAAACCUAGGUGGAGGGGAUCAGAGAUGCAAGUACUGACAGUUGUUUGGAAUCAACGAGAUGAAAGCUCUUGUCAGAGGCCUGGGGAAUCAGGAAGUCUACUGACAAUCAUGAGUCCUUUACAUGAAGAUUGAGAAAUGGACGUUUCACAAAACCUGGCAAAGAGGAGACGAUCGCUUUUGGCUUGGGAUAAAUCUGCAAAUCCACUCCUGGGACACUGGAAGCCUCAGAAAAUGCACAGUGCCAGUGGAUAAUUCAUCCUCUGAUAACGAGGGCAUCGACCGUCAUUUUUUCCUCUCCUCCUGCCAUCUUUCUUUAAGUGACUUAUCAAGUGAGAGCCUGGGCUGGGCAGCUGGCGUUGAGAGUGUUUGCGGACCCUUCCCUCGUGGCCUCUGGGGGCCGACAGCUGGCUUUCAUUAUGCGUCAGACUGCGAAGCACACCAAAAAGAAAGUGGUUGAGAUGAAUAAGAAGGGAGCUCGGGUGAGGCUGCGGUUUGUUCCUGGGGGUGUCAAGGUGAAGAAUCCAUCCUGCUCUUCAGACCACUGUAAACUUAAUCCAUUUCAUCAUACACACGAGUGAAAUUCAGCAGUGUUUUCUUAAGAAUCUGUGUCGCUUUUAUUUACUGUGGGAGAGGCCCCGGGUCUUUCUUCUUGCUUUCCUAGAACACUAAUGCACUUUAUAUGUCCUUUAAUCUCAGUUCCAGUUCUGUCAAUAUUUGAGCUUAUCUUAAAACGAAGAACUCCAAAGGAGGUCAAAGAAAGUCAAUUCUCACUCCGGAAGGCAAAUACCAAUUAUUUCAUUAAACGUCCAGAUCACAAAGCGCCCCGUGGACCAGACUUUGAUCCAAACAAGAGGGUGCAGGCUGCCCCAAAUCCUUCCUUUUGUGAUGAACGCUUAAAAACUCCCAAGUUCUCUAAUAUGGGGCUCAUGAAAUUCAGUGACAAGAAACGGUACCAUCUCUGCACGUGUUUCUGGAGUGUCUACUCCUGAUGGAGAGAGAUGGGAAGCCGGGGCCUUGCACUGAGCCCGGGUUGGUCUGCUCUGUAUCCCUGAUAAACACCCCUGGGAAGAGUCGUGCACCAACUCCCAUCUCCCACGAGCCAAGCAAUCCGCAUCACCCGCGAUCCUUCGCACCGUGAUGCAGACAGACGUGCAGGCUCAGGGGCAGUGCAUGACUAGGAGCUCCGCCAGACUCAUCAGCCUUGUCCGUGUAUCUGAACAGGUAUAUAGUUUCCCACAAGCUUCUGUUAGGGGAGCCACACUGCCAGAAACUGCCCACCCGGGCCAGACACCAUCGUAACCAUCUGCGUGAGUUAUUUCACGACAGUAGGUCCUGGAAAGGAACAUGGGACUGACAAGCCACCACCAACCAGAAAAGCUCCAGAAGGGUCAAAAGGGGACUCCGCGUAUCCUACCACCUCCCAGAGUCCUUCUCGAUGGCAUCCAUCUCGGCGGCACAAGGCGUGCACCCCCAGGAAGGACUUUCGGUCAUAACGAUUGGGCAAAGACAACCCGGAAUCUAAACCCAUCACCACAAACCCUGAGACCGUGAGCCACGUGGGGAGCCUCCUGGGUUCCCUCGCCCUCCUGCCUCCUUCUGGGAGCCCCUUCCCAGUAAAGGCUCUUCUUUGUCAGUGCGUGUGUCUCCUCGGACAAUUUAUUUCCAAAUGCUGGACAAGGGCCCUUUGUGCAGCACUUCCAAUUUCAUAAACUCUGGAGAUAACGUUCCCUUAAUGACGGCGAACUCAGCCUCAACCAAGGCCUGGAUAAAGACAUCCUUUUGAUUCACCUACUGUAGCUCUUCAGACAAUAGGCGGGUGGCCAGGUGCGGCAAGUGGGUGUUCGCUGUGAAGGGGGCUUCCACACUCUAUGGGACGAGAAAAUACACGUCUACACAGAUAAGCCCGGUGGCGCUGGUCGUAAAGAACCCUUGUGCCAGUGCAGGAGACAUAAGAGAUGCAGGUUCAAUCCCUGGGUCGGGAAGAUCCCCCGAAGGAGGGCGUGGCAACCCACUCCAGUAUUCCCGCCUGGAGAAUCCCAUGGACAGAGGAGCUUGGCGGGCUGCAGUUACAGAAUAGUAAAGAGCGCACAUGACUGAAGUGACUUAGCACGCAGCACAGGGGGCAGGAAAAUACACUCCUGCACAGACAAGCAUUUACACAAACACAUCCUGCUAAAAGCGGAGGCGCCCAGAGGUUUCUCACAGGCCCCCCGUCCUCUAGGGGGAGAGUGAAGAGACGCAAACAUUCUUUCAGCCUAAUAACCCAGGGGGCUGCUCCGAUGGCUUCUGUGAACGUGCAGUUAGCCUGCAGAUUCUACACUCCCGGGGCAGAUUCCACACUCUGUCUCUCUUCUGUUCUCCUCCUUUGGACUGGGAGAGACUGGCUCCAUCCUGCUGGGAAGCAAUUAGCGCUGAAGAUGUGACCAGAAGCACAGGAGUGGCAGGGGCCCCAGGGUGCGGAGCAAAGAGGAGAAAAAAAAAAGGAGGAAAGGGCCGCAGGGGAACUUAAUCUAGGAGUCUGGAGCGGGGCAGCUUCCUCUGGGUGAUGCUAAUAGAACAGCUCUAAGGGGAUGCCAAAGGUCAAGUACUGAGAAGCUGGAUUUGCAUAGAAACCUAAGCAGUCGAAUCUAGAGGCAGGAGAGCCAGUGAACUGCCCCGCAGAUGUUUCUGCAAUGAGGCAACAUCCUGUAACCCACUGUGCAAAGCCAUUGGCCAUUAGGCACCCGUGGCUGGUGAGCGCAGUCAAUGUGACUGCGAUUCUGAGAGGAAACUGGAUUUUUCAUUUAACUCAUUUCGUGUAACUUGAGUAGCCAUAUAUGUGGCCUGUGACCACCGAACUGGACAGUGCAGAAUAGGAUAAUCACUCAGGGGCCCCACCUCUUUUGAGAAAACUCCAUCAAGUCGAUGCCAAGACAUGAAUCCCAAGGGGUUCCCUGGUGUCUUAGAUGCUAAAGGAUUAUUAUCAGAACUCCCCCAGCAGAGGGCAUGGUGAGCAAAGGGUAUGGAAGCAGAUGCAGUUGACCCUCCAUUUUUCUUCUGUGACCUUGGGCGACACACUGAAUCAGUAUCAUCCUUUGUUUCCGAAUUUGCCUAGAAGGUAUUAACACACUCCUCUCCUCUGAGUGUCCUGAUGAUUAAAUUAAGCAAGUUUACCAAACAUUAUAAAGGUGAUUCUCCCCUCUUUGGCUGUUUCCGGUGUUUUCUUGCUGUUGUUUAGUCUCUAAGUCUUGCCCAGCUCUUCUGGGACCCCAUGGACUGUAGCCCACCAGGCUCCUCUUGGCAGUGGACUUCCCGCAAGGAUGCUGAAGCGGGUUGCGGUUUCUUCCCCGGGGGAUCUUCCCGACCCAGGGAUUGGACAUGCAUCUCUUGCAUCAAAGGUGGAUUCUUUGCCGCUGAGUCACUGCGGAAGCCCCACUUCUGGUGUUUAAUCACAUAGCCAAUUUAUCCCAGGGUCAGUAGAGACUCAGUAUAAUACAAAUAAAGAGAAUUAUCACAGUAGAACAGCAACAACAGUAAGAUCAGCUAGCAAUUCAUUUUGUAGUGUCUGUACCAGCUAAUUAGCUUUGCUAUAACAAAGAACUCAGAAUGUAACGGCUUAAAGGAGAAAGGUGUUUAUUUCUCUCCCAUAUUCCUGCCCCAAGUUGAGCGAUGCAGGGUGAUGAGGUCAUUCAGCUGCAGGACACCCAUGUCUCCCCUGUCGGGCUCCCCCAGGACCACCUAGGGCAGAGAAACUGCAGCUCUAGCCCAGCCUGCUGCCUGAGUCUGCGUACAGAAGCUCACUGGGAUGCAACCACACCCCAGUGAAUACGUGUUAUCUAGGGCUGCUUUGAGGCUGCAAGCACAGAGAUGGGAAUUGCAGAGACUUCAGGGCCACGAAGUGUGAAAUAUUUGCUAUCUGAUCCUUU
Molecule: long non-coding RNA, 4498 nt
Organism: Capra hircus (goat)
Lineage: Eukaryota; Metazoa; Chordata; Mammalia; Artiodactyla; Bovidae
Source: Ensembl